This 492-nucleotide ribosomal RNA is filed under the name uncultured bacterium. RNAcentral describes it as "partial 16S ribosomal RNA". It matches the Rfam family "Bacterial small subunit ribosomal RNA", at positions 29 to 507 of the family's 1533-position model. The record is from RNAcentral.
AGUGAACGCUGGCGGUAGGCCUAACACAUGCAAGUCGAGCGGCAGCACAGUAAGAGCUUGCUCUUACGGGUGGCGAGUGGCGGGCGGGUGAGGAAUACAUCGGAAUCUACUUUUUCGUGGGGGAUAACGUAGGGAAACUUACGCUAAUACCGCAUACGACCUACGGGUGAAAGCAGGGGAUCUUCGGACCUUGCGCGAUUGAAUGAGCCGAUGUCGGAUUAGCUAGUUGGCGGGGUAAAGGCCCACCAAGGCGACGAUCCGUAGCUGGUCUGAGAGGAUGAUCAGCCACACUGGAACUGAGACACGGUCCAGACUCCUACGGGAGGCAGCAGUGGGGAAUAUUGGACAAUGGGCGCAAGCCUGAUCCAGCCAUACCGCGUGGGUGAAGAAGGCCUUCGGGUUGUAAAGCCCUUUUGUUGGGAAAGAAAAGCAGCAGGUUAAUACCCCGCUGUUCUGACGGUACCCAAAGAAUAAGCACCGGCUAACUUCGUG